Non-coding RNA from Phascolarctos cinereus (koala), 1030 nucleotides. Lineage: Eukaryota; Metazoa; Chordata; Mammalia; Diprotodontia; Phascolarctidae. The record is from RefSeq and is a predicted model, not a curated record.
AAAUGCUAUCCACCUCCAGAGAAAGAACCGAUGAAAUAUGAGUGCAAAUUGAGGAAUGUCAAGCAACAAGUUCCCAUUCUGGGAUACUCGUCUCCUGACUCUUGGGCAUCAGACAGCAUCUGGACUCCACAAACUGAGGGUCUCUGCCAGCCAUUCCAUCUCUCAAACAAGCAGUACUAGAUCCAGGAUGUAUCAUGCUUUGUAGGACAGGUGAAGACACAGGACAAGAAAGGGUAUAUUUGUUCAAAGUCUCAAAAACAGUGAAUUGCAGGACUGGGACUCAAACCUGCUUCUUCUGAUCUGAAAUUCAGGGCCCUCUCUACCUCUCCACACUGACAGCCUAGUCUCACAACAGGAGACAAAUGAAGGAGCUUUACUUUUGAAAACAAAUAACAAAAUGAAGGAUUUUUAAUACUGCUGAAGUAAUGGCAAACAAAUCUGGCAAAGAGAAGAGGAUGAAGAAUUUAAAGACCUCCAUGAAUCCCUUGGCUACUGAAAACAAGAUAAUCAUUUAAUUUUGGGAGCUACGGAGUUAAAGAAAGUAUGCACAGGAAUGACAGAUGCUGUUGCCACCAGGAGCAAGUCAUGUUUUUAUAUUAACCUUAUUCCACCAAACAUUUAAUUAAAUCCAAUUUAAACAUUUAUUGGCCACCUUCUCCAAUAAAAUGAGGCACUUCUUUCUCCUGUGGGGCCACAGUGUGGUCUUAAGUUUACUCUGGGCUCUGGAAGGCCAUGGUAACACAGCACAGACACUGGGAGGUCCUAACAAAAUGUGGUGCUGUUAUCUAAGGAUUUUUAAAGUCCUGGAGGAGAAACACUCUGCUAGGCACCAAGGGGAAUAGGUAUGUAAAUAAGACGUGGGCUCUCCAAUUAAUUGCCCUAUAACAAGUAGGAGAAUUAUGACCAGUAUAUACCACUGUAAGAAAUGUUAGUAUCAUGGAAGCAAUGUCACACUUCGGACAAAGUAGGCCUCAGAGCAAGGCAGCCAGGGAGAACAAUGGAGAAAGCACUUAGCCUGGAGUCAGGAAGA